CCUACGGGAGGCAGCAGUGAGGAAUAUUGGUCAAUGGGCGAGAGCCUGAACCAGCCAAGUCGCGUGAAGGAUGAAUGCCCUAUGUGUUGUAAACUUCUUUUAUAAGUGAAUAAAGUGAGGAACGUGUCCCUUUUUGUAUGUACCUUAUGAAUAAGGAUCGGCUAACUCCGUGCCAGCAGCCGCGGUAAUACGGAGGAUUCGAGCGUUAUCCGGAUUUCUUGGGUUUAAAGGGUGCGUAGGUGGGUCGUUAAGUCAGUGGUUAACGUUUGUGGCGCAACCGUAAAAUGUCCGUUGAAACUGGCUGCCUUGAGUACAGUUGAGGUAGGCGGAAUUCGUGGUGUAGCGGUGAAAUGCAUAGAUAUCACGCAGAACUCCGAUUGCGAAGGCAGCUUACUAAACUACCACUGACACUGAGGCACGAAAGUGUGGGUAUCAAACAGGAUUAGAUACCCUUGUAGUC
Molecule: ribosomal RNA, 460 nt
Filed under: uncultured bacterium
Lineage: Bacteria
Description: partial 16S ribosomal RNA
Rfam family: Bacterial small subunit ribosomal RNA
Source: RNAcentral